RNAcentral lists this ribosomal RNA (426 nucleotides) under uncultured eukaryote. RNAcentral describes it as "bacterial SSU rRNA". It matches the Rfam family "Eukaryotic small subunit ribosomal RNA", at positions 592 to 1018 of the family's 1831-position model. The record is from RNAcentral.
CAAUAGCGUAUAUUAAAGUUGUUGCAGUUAAAAAGCUCGUAGUUGGAUUUCUCGCUGGAGCGACCGGUCCGCCCUCAUCGGGUGUGCACUCGCGUCGGCUCUUGCGAUCCUGGGGAGAGGUUCGAUUGUCGUUUACUCGAUGGCCGGAUUCAAUCCCCUCUUUUACUGUGAACAAAUUAGAGUGCUCCACGCAAGCAAUGCGCCUGGAUAUCUCAGCAUGGAAUAAUAAGAUAGGACUCGGUUACUAUUUUGUUGGUUUGCAUACCCGAGUAAUGAUUAAUAGGGAUAGUUGGGGGGUAUUCGUAUUUAAUUGUCAGAGGUGAAAUUCUUGGAUUUAUGAAAGACGAACUACUGCGAAAGCAUUUACCAAGGAUGUUUUCAUUGAUCAAGAACGAAAGUUAGGGAUCGAAGAUGAUCAGAUACCAU